Alligator mississippiensis (American alligator) is the source of this 668-nucleotide long non-coding RNA. RefSeq lists it as uncharacterized. Lineage: Eukaryota; Metazoa; Chordata; Crocodylia; Alligatoridae. The record is from RefSeq and is a predicted model, not a curated record. The transcript is spliced from 2 exons.
AGUUCUUUGCUGUGGGAGGGGGGAGAGCCCUUUGGGAGCAAGUGAGCUAAGGCUGAAGGCAGGGAGCUGGGCAUGCUCCCUUAUGUGUGCUGAAGCUGCUGCCCUUUCUGAAUCAGCUCCCAGCUUCACCCAGGGGCUGGGGACAGCAAAUUUGAGGCCUGAACUGGGCAAGAAAGAGGGAGAAAGACAAACAGAAUAGAAGAGGUCUGCAAGCUAGGGCCCAGCUGCCUGCAGGUGCUCUGAGAAUUUCCAGACAGAUCAUAAAUGAACCUCUGGCCUUAACAUGGAGGACAUCGUGUGCUGCAACAAUGAGCUGAUGCCAACUGAUAUCUUGAGAAAGAAGAAUGAGCUAGAGAGGAAUGGGAUGAUGACAGAAGGCCUGGCCACCAGCAUCUCCCGGGCCCUGGAGCUGGUGGUGGACUUAAGACAGGACAGGAAAACGAACUGGUACUCAGGGAAUAUCCAGCUUGUUGUCCAGGCCGAUGGUUGCUGGCUAGAGUUCAAAGCAGGAGCUGCCAAAUUCACAGUGCUGGUGUGGUAUGACCAGUACAAGAAGGAAGUCAAAGUCCUCAAAACCUUCUGAGCAGAGAGGUGAAUAUGAUGGAUGUCCCCCCCCACCCUUCUCAAUCCCUCCCCAAAUAAAUGCCUCUGGUGCUUACAAAUUGCAA